UACAGAGGGGGCAAGCGUUGUUCGGAAUUACUGGGCGUAAAGGGCUCGUAGGCGGCCAACUAAGUCAUACGUGAAAUCCCUCAGCUUAACUGGGGAACUGCGUGUGAUACUGGAUGGCUUGAAUUCGGGAGAGGGAUGCAGAAUUCCAGGUGUAGCGGUGAAAUGCGUAGAUAUCUGGAGGAAUACCGGUGGCGAAGGCGGCAUCCUGGACCGACAUUGACGCUGAGGAGCGAAAGCUAGGGGAGCAAACGGG
Molecule: ribosomal RNA, 253 nt
Filed under: uncultured bacterium
Lineage: Bacteria
Description: partial 16S ribosomal RNA
Rfam family: Bacterial small subunit ribosomal RNA
Source: RNAcentral